RNAcentral lists this ribosomal RNA (253 nucleotides) under uncultured bacterium. RNAcentral's name for it is "partial 16S ribosomal RNA". It matches the Rfam family "Bacterial small subunit ribosomal RNA", at positions 524 to 776 of the family's 1533-position model. The record is from RNAcentral.
UACGUAGGGCGCAAGCGUUAUCCGGAAUUAUUGGGCGUAAAGAGCUCGUAGGCGGUUUGUCGCGUCUGCCGUGAAAGUCCGGGGCUCAACUCCGGAUCUGCGGUGGGUACGGGCAGACUAGAGUGAUGUAGGGGAGACUGGAAUUCCUGGUGUAGCGGUGAAAUGCGUAGAUAUCUGGAGGAACACCGGUGGCGAAGGCGGCAUCCUGGGUCGGUAUUGACGCUGAGGAGCGAAAGCCAGGGGAGCAAACGGG